UGUGUACUCCCUCCGUUCCAAAAUACUUGACUUCCAUUUGUCCAAAAAUGGAUGUACCUAUAUACUAAAACAUGUCUAGAUACAUCUAUAUUUUGACAAAUAGAAGGCAUGUAUUGUGGAAUGGAGGGAGUAGAAU
Triticum aestivum (bread wheat) is the source of this 136-nucleotide non-coding RNA. The record is from Rfam. Lineage: Eukaryota; Viridiplantae; Streptophyta; Magnoliopsida; Poales; Poaceae.